This 253-nucleotide ribosomal RNA is filed under the name uncultured bacterium. Its description in RNAcentral is "partial 16S ribosomal RNA". It matches the Rfam family "Bacterial small subunit ribosomal RNA", at positions 524 to 776 of the family's 1533-position model. The record is from RNAcentral.
UACGUAGGGGGCAAGCGUUGUCCGGAUUUAUUGGGCGUAAAGCGCGUGUAGGCGGCCAGAAAAGUCCGCUGUGAAAACUCGAGGCUCAACUUCGAGCUGUCGGUGGAAACUUUCUGGCUAGAGUCCGGAAGGGGAGAAUGGAAUUCCUGGUGUAGCGGUGAAAUGCGCAGAUAUCAGGAAGAACACCCGUGGCGAAGGCGGUUCUCUGGGACGGUACUGACGCUGAGACGCGAAAGCGUGGGGAGCGAACAGG